Molecule: long non-coding RNA, 212 nt
Filed under: Prunus persica (peach)
Lineage: Eukaryota; Viridiplantae; Streptophyta; Magnoliopsida; Rosales; Rosaceae
Description: long non-coding RNA (PPER_LNC002147)
Source: RNAcentral
GUGGGUACUGCUAUGGUUGCUUCACGUGGACGUGGUGGUUUUUGAGGCCAUGGCUCGUUUGGACAGCGUGGUGGUUGUGGUUUUUCUGGCAGUUCCUCUUUUCAUGGUGGUCGUGGUAGUUUUUCUUCUUCCACAUCUGGUGUUCUUCGUGCGGCUUCGUCUUCUUCCAGUGGUGUUUCUUCUUCUUUCUCUGGCGGUGCUUCCUCAUCUUC